Molecule: long non-coding RNA, 1758 nt
Organism: Manis javanica (Malayan pangolin)
Lineage: Eukaryota; Metazoa; Chordata; Mammalia; Pholidota; Manidae
Source: RefSeq, a predicted model, not a curated record
GGUCUGAGUCAUGAGCGGUGUGUGGCAGGACUGCAAAUGGUCCUCAUGACCCUCGAGGCGAGCCCCGAUAAGGAACACUCUGUGAGGCUCACGUGGCCGGAUGACUUGACAGAGCAUAAGAGGAGCUCUUAAGAAAUAUUUAGCUUGCAGUUGUUUAGGUUGAUGAAAAACACAUCCUAUAAUCAUUAAUCGAUGCCUGGCCUUCUGCUGCUGCAACCUAAUAAAAGCUCAGGGGAGUGCUGACUUGGUGCUUAGUCUCCAGAGAAAGUCUAAGCCCUCUGCUUAAAAUGCCUUCUGACUCGGUUUCUCAUUUUCGUGACCCCUGACUGCAACAUCUGGCACCCAACGUGGGGCUCGAAAGUGACAGACUUUGACUGACUUCAGGCCGGUCAGAACCGAAAGGAUUCACUUACGCCCCGAGAAAAAAUCAGGAAAAUGGAGAAUGGUGACUGAUCUAAGAAAAAUAAAUGCUGUUAUUCAACCUAUGGAUCCUCUACAACCUGGACUAGACUACCACAACCCGUCUGGAGAAGAGCUACCGGAAAACAUCAGUGAGCUGAACAACAACAGCAGUCUUCUCACUAAUGUUACAAAAGAUGCAAGCUAAACAAGGGGGAAAUGUAGAUCCUGUAGAUACCCCAGCAGUUUAACCUCGCUGUAAUUUAGUUGCUGCUUAAACUUAAUCUAUAGCCGAAACUAAUCUAAGAGAAAGAACAAUACGUUUACUGUUUAAGCUUGAUUUGUAGCCGAAACUAAUCUAAGAGAAAAGAACAAUAAGCGUUGCAUCUUGGAAUCUGGUCUGAGUCAUGAGCGGUGUGUGGCAGGACUGCAAACGGUCCUCGUGACCCUCGAGGCGAGCCCCGAUAAGGAACACUCUGUGAGGCUCACGUGGCCGGAUGACUUGACAGAGCAUAAGAGGAGCUCUUAAGAAAGAUUUAGCUUGCAGUUGUUUCGGUUGAUGAAAAACACAUCCUAUAAUCAUUAAUCGAUGCCUGGCCUUCUGCGGUUGCAACCUAAUAAAAGCUCAGGGGAGCGCUGACUUGGUGCUUAGUCUCCAGAGAAAGUCUAAGCCCUCUGCUAAACGUCUUCUGACUCGGUUUCUCAUUUUCGCGGUCCCCGACUGCAUCAGCCCCAGGUCCCCAGGGCUACAGUCAUUGGUCAUGCUCUUCUUUCUCAUUCCCAGUAAAUUCACUUUCAGAUGAAUUUGUAUUCUUUAUCCUAAAGGGGGGGUCCUUAAAAUUGGACUGGCCGGGCUCUUCCUCCUUACAACCCCCUCUCCACGCGGGCCAGGCCCUCUCACACAGCCCUCCAGGGGCUCACCUGCUGUGGCCCCGGGGAGAUCGGCCCCUCCAUAACGGUCUCCCACCACCGGGCCGCACCCUCUCAGCUCCGCCGCAUCAGCCCUUCCCAGUCCCUCAGGCCGCUCAGGAGCCUUAGACCUGCCUGGGCCGCGACACCAGCCCCUUGGCCCGGGAACUCCCGCUGAACCUUCAGCAUUUGGUUUCAACAGCUCUUGCCCAGCAAGGCCUCCCUGAUCCCCAGACCAUGUCGCUCGCCUCACACCUGGACUUGCCCUCGGCACCUGCGUGAGGUGGCCCUGCUCUUCCCCUGGGGGGCCCCCACGCCUUCACCCAGCUGUUCAGGUCAAAAAUCCUAAAGCCCCCAAGAUUCCUCUCUUCCUUUCAGUCCCACAUCUAAUUGAUCAGGAAAUCCUUUCAAUUUUUCAAAUUACGUUCCUAGUCCAACCAUUUCUGGCGG